RNAcentral lists this ribosomal RNA (342 nucleotides) under uncultured bacterium. Its description in RNAcentral is "bacterial SSU rRNA". It matches the Rfam family "Bacterial small subunit ribosomal RNA", at positions 569 to 913 of the family's 1533-position model. The record is from RNAcentral.
GCGUAGGUGGGCAGGUAAGUCAGUGGUGAAAUCUCUGGGCUUAACCCAGAAACUGCCGUUGAUACUAUCUGUCUUGAAUAUAGUGGAGGUGAGCGGAAUAUGUCAUGUAGCGGUGAAAUGCUUAGAUAUGACAUAGAACACCCAUUGCGAAGGCAGCUCGCUACACUAUUAUUGACACUGAGGCACGAAAGCGUGGGGAUCAAACAGGAUUAGAUACCCUGGUAGUCCACGCCCUAAACGAUGGAUACUCGACAUCAGCGAUACACUGUUGGUGUCUGAGCGAAAGCAUUAAGUAUCCCACCUGGGAAGUACGACCGCAAGGUUGAAACUCAAAGGAAUUGA